UAACCACUCAAGCCUAGCUUGGUAUUGGGGUUCGCUAUCCUGCGGCCCUUAAAAUCAGUGGCGGCGCUGCCUAGCUCUAAGCGUAGUAAUUCUCUCGCUAUAGGGUCUGGGUAGUCACUUGCCAAAACCCCCCACUUCUCAC
Molecule: unclassified non-coding RNA, 142 nt
Filed under: uncultured Hyaloscypha
Lineage: Eukaryota; Fungi; Ascomycota; Leotiomycetes; Helotiales; Hyaloscyphaceae
Description: sequence contains ITS2
Source: RNAcentral